Long non-coding RNA from Selaginella moellendorffii, 330 nucleotides. RefSeq lists it as uncharacterized. The transcript is spliced from 3 exons. The record is from RefSeq and is a predicted model, not a curated record. Lineage: Eukaryota; Viridiplantae; Streptophyta; Lycopodiopsida; Selaginellales; Selaginellaceae.
CCGUGGUGCUGGAGAGGCUGGAUGACAUGGCCUCGAGCUCUUCUUUGGUGGCAUCUCGGUUCUUCGCGAGGGGGCCAUUGUUGUGGCGAGAGUAGGACGAGUGCGUGAGCGCGUCCUGGAGUAACGUGGAGUCGUUGAACUUGUAGCUGGAGAAACCAAGAUGAGAGGGUGUCUGAUGUCUCCUUGAGCUUGAUGGAGAUCGCCUGAGAACACUACGCUUGAGAAAUAGGGAGGUACUGAAAGUAAAACGAACAUACCUGGACGAGUAGCAGUGCCGCGAAUACGAACCAAACGGUUCUCAUUGUAGAAUGCAAGAACCCUAGUUACUUC